CCCAACUAUCCCUAUUAAUCAUUACGUCAAUCCUAGAAACCAACAAAAUAGGUUUGAACGUCCUAUUUCAUUAUUCCAUGCUAAUGUAUUCAAGCGUUAGCCUGCUUUAAACACUCUAAUUUUUUCAAAGUAACAGUCCUGUUUCCCUGCAACACCAAAUUAAUGGCAUUACAGUUCUUCAGAAAGGAGGAAUCAGCGAAACCAGUUCAUACCAGUGGCACGACCAACCUGCUGACCCCGAAAUUCAACUACGAGCUUUUUAACUGCAACAACUUUAAUAUACGCUAUUGGAGCUGGAAUUACCGCGGCUGCUGGCACCAGACUUGCCCUCCAA
Molecule: unclassified non-coding RNA, 334 nt
Filed under: uncultured Glomeraceae
Lineage: Eukaryota; Fungi; Glomeromycota; Glomeromycetes; Glomerales; Glomeraceae
Description: sequence contains 18S rRNA gene
Source: RNAcentral